Carica papaya (papaya) is the source of this 455-nucleotide long non-coding RNA. RefSeq lists it as uncharacterized. NCBI's taxonomy places the organism in Eukaryota, Viridiplantae, Streptophyta, Magnoliopsida, Brassicales, Caricaceae. The record is from RefSeq and is a predicted model, not a curated record.
GCCACCAUAAGAGAAGGGAGUGGGAGAGAGUGGGAUGUCGGAGAAAGGAAGGAGGUGGCAGGGCACGAUUACACUCCCAUGAUGGAGAGUAAAACUAGCUCUGUUAAAAACGUAAAACCUGAGAGCUGCAUCAAUCCUUCAAAAGGCUUUCACAGUCAGAGCUUCUCCUUUUUGCUAUGGAGAGAUUUGAGACUUCACCACCAUGGACUCGGGGCUUAUUUGGUCCACGCUUGGGUAAGAACGCUAUAGUUCUUAAUUCAUGGUUUUCGUUUUCUCAAAUAUUUAAAUGUCUUAGUAAUCAGUUUUGUUUAUGUGAUUCGUAUUUUCGAGAGCUAGAGUUUGGGGGUACAAAUCGGAUCCAAAAAUUAAUUUGGCUUAGAAUUUUGACUUAAAUUAGAUAUAUUAAACACUUAAGAUUUAAGUUGAUCAUGUUUCCAUUAAUUCUUCUUGAGUAA